This 882-nucleotide ribosomal RNA is filed under the name uncultured Acinetobacter sp. RNAcentral's name for it is "bacterial SSU rRNA". It matches the Rfam family "Bacterial small subunit ribosomal RNA", at positions 45 to 921 of the family's 1533-position model. Lineage: Bacteria; Pseudomonadati; Pseudomonadota; Gammaproteobacteria; Moraxellales; Moraxellaceae. The record is from RNAcentral.
GGCCUAACACAUGCAAGUCGAGCGGGGGAAGGUAGCUUGCUACUGGACCUAGCGGCGGACGGGUGAGUAAUGCUUAGGAAUCUGCCUAUUAGUGGGGGACAACAUCUCGAAAGGGAUGCUAAUACCGCAUACGUCCUACGGGAGAAAGCAGGGGAUCUUCGGACCUUGCGCUAAUAGAUGAGCCUAAGUCGGAUUAGCUAGUUGGUGGGGUAAAGGCCUACCAAGGCGACGAUCUGUAGCGGGUCUGAGAGGAUGAUCCGCCACACUGGGACUGAGACACGGCCCAGACUCCUACGGGAGGCAGCAGUGGGGAAUAUUGGACAAUGGGCGCAAGCCUGAUCCAGCCAUGCCGCGUGUGUGAAGAAGGCCUUAUGGUUGUAAAGCACUUUAAGCGAGGAGGAGGCUACUUUAGAUAAUACCUAGAGAUAGUGGACGUUACUCGCAGAAUAAGCACCGGCUAACUCUGUGCCAGCAGCCGCGGCAAUACAGAGGGUGCAAGCGUUAAUCGGAUUUACUGGGCGUAAAGCGCGCGUAGGCGGCUAAUUAAGUCAAAUGUGAAAUCCCCGAGCUUAACUUGGGAAUUGCAUUCGAUACUGGUUAGCUAGAGUGUGGGAGAGGAUGGUAGAAUUCCAGGUGUAGCGGUGAAAUGCGUAGAGAUCUGGAGGAAUACCGAUGGCGAAGGCAGCCAUCUGGCCUAACACUGACGCUGAGGUGCGAAAGCAUGGGGAGCAAACAGGAUUAGAUACCCUGGUAGUCCAUGCCGUAAACGAUGUCUACUAGCCGUUGGGGCCUUUGAGGCUUUAGUGGCGCAGCUAACGCGAUAAGUAGACCGCCUGGGGAGUACGGUCGCAAGACUAAAACUCCAAUGAAUUGACGGGGGCC